This 334-nucleotide ribosomal RNA is filed under the name uncultured eukaryote. Its description in RNAcentral is "partial 18S ribosomal RNA". It matches the Rfam family "Eukaryotic small subunit ribosomal RNA", at positions 1470 to 1796 of the family's 1831-position model. The record is from RNAcentral.
CCCUUAGAUGUCCGGGGCCGCACGCGCGCUACACUGAAGGAAUCAGCGUGGCUUUCUCCCUGACCCGAAAGGGUUGGGAAACCCGUUGAAUCUCCUUCGUGAUAGGGAUUGGGGCUUGAAAUUGUUCCCCAUGAACGAGGAAUUCCCAGUAAGCGCGAGUCAUAAGCUCGCGUUGAUUACGUCCCUGCCAUUUGUACACACCGCCCGUCGCUACUACCGAUUGAACGGUUUAGUGAGGGCCUCGGAUUGGUCUCGGCCCGCUCUUUACCGGGCGGCGCCGUUGGUCGAGAAGACGCUCGAACUUGAUCGUUUAGAGGAAGUAAAAGUCGUAACA